CCUGAUACAGAGUACUUGAAUGAAUGAGGAAAUAAAAGUGUGCUGUGUGAUUCUGGGCUGCUGUCAGACUCUACCUCGACUAAAGACUAACAAAUUGUAGCACUUAAAUUGUACUUGUACUUGUAACGUCACUCAUCUAUAGCAAAUUGUAAAUUGGCUUAUUUGAGGAAAUUGCACUUUCUUGUUUCUUGUUCUCCUGAGUUUGUACCCUAUGGUUGAAUGCACUUAUUGUACGUCGCUUUGGAUAAAAGCGUCAGCUAAAUGACAUGUAAUGUAAUGUAAUGUAAUGUAAUAGGGAGGAGACUGUGAAAAACCUGCUCCCGACCAGGGCCCUGUUCCUCGUACGUGGCUAACUCCACGAACGAGGAACAGGUUCCUCAGGAACGAGGAACA
Molecule: long non-coding RNA, 393 nt
Organism: Gasterosteus aculeatus aculeatus (three-spined stickleback)
Lineage: Eukaryota; Metazoa; Chordata; Actinopteri; Perciformes; Gasterosteidae
Source: Ensembl